AGCCCCUUGGUUUGUUGUUUACUCUCCUCUGCUACCACACAGCUCUGUGUCUGCUUCUGAAAAUACAUGAAUUACCUAAGCAGGACUUCAAGUUCCCUUAAAGACAAGAAGUCAUUCUUACAACAUUCCUAGGAGGUCAGCAGUAAACAAAAAGAUACAAGUCUUCACCCACAUUGGGAAGAGGACGCUAAUCAGUUUUCAGACUCAAAUGAAAUCCAAAAACACCCUUAUGGACACAUGCAGAAAUAAUGCUUAACCAAAUAUCUGGACACCGUGCCAGUCAAGUUGACAUAAAAUUAAUCAUCACAGGAAGAUUGAACUGAUCAUAGGAAGGAUAAUUCCAAGAAACCCACACAUUCACAAGUCCUUUGGCAAGACUAGAACCAGAGAAGCAAAGAGCAUCUGCGUGCAGAAGCAGCACUAGGCUACCCAAAAAUGACUGUAUUUGGAGAUAAGACUUUUAAGAUGGCAAAGAAAAUUAAAUGAAGCCAUAAGCAUGGACUCUUAAUCUAGUAGACAAAUGUCCUUACAAGAAGAGGAGAGAGACCAUUCUCCCCCUAUACACACACCUUUCCAUACGCAUGGAGGAAAGGCCAGUGAGAACACAGUGAGAAGGGAGCUGUUUGCAAACCAGGAAGAGAGUGCUCACCAGACACAAUCCUGGAAGCACCUUAGGAUUGGGCUUCUGGUCUCCAGAACUAUGUCUUCCUUUGCAUUGCAUUAGACAGAAACAUGGGGGAAAAAUAGUGGCACUGUGAAACAGAGAGAAGACAGGGUGCCAGAAACUGGAAACCAGUGUGGGACAGGAGCGGAAAAGACACCCUGAGAGCAGAGCAGAUAUGAUGUGGCCCCCAGGAAGGCCUCAUUUGUGAAUUGUCAAGGAGGUCAAGUCAGGCUUUGAAUGGCAGAGCAUCAGCACCGCAGCUGUGACAGCCACAAGGAAAAGUCUAUAGAGGAAGCAGAUUGAAAUGAAGAUCAGAAGCCAAGAGAAGUUGGUCAAAGGGCAGUGCUGACCAAGGUGCUGAGAUCCAGAGCCCUCACUGGGCUCUGUCCCCUGAUGUGAGCACCUGGGAGGCUGCUGCCUGAACUGACCACCCCUGCAUACUCCUCUGGCCCUGCCUCUCAACUCUCCCAGCAUCUGCUACCCACUGUUCAUCCUGUUCUGUCCUAGCUCUGACAGGCUUGAACAAUCUUCAAGAAUGAGACCUCCUGUGACCUUCCUGGACCUCUGCACUUACCUUAUGGGCUAUAAAAGGACCCAUUCUGGCUCGGGCAGCGUCCGGAGGACUCGGAGACUGCUUUCUCAGGACUGGUCCCCUGCUGGGAAGUUGCCCAGUGCUGCAGUGUGUGGCCUAACACACCACGUGCUCCAGGGUUGCUAUUUCUUCACUAAUUUCUAAAACUUGGAAAGGAGUCUCAACCUACAUACAUGCCUCUUGUGCCCAGGCCUGUGGUAGGCACCAAGAGCAGUGGCCUGGCCCUGGAGCUGGAGAAGUGCCAAUCAGGAUGAGACAGAAUUUCUCAUUUGCUCCUGACAACUAAUGGUGAGACAGUAGAGAAGAGAUUAUUGGUCCCAUUUUACAGAGGAGAACUCUGAGCCUUAGAGAGUUCGUGUCCAGCAGAAGUGGAACUCAAUCAAAAAUUCUUGACUCCCAGAAGACUGGGGUUUGAACUGGGAAGAUCAGGAAGUGAUUGGGAGAAACCUGUGCCUUCAUGGAGGAGCCUCAUGGGAGUCCUCACUAGACAGACAUGGAUAAAGACAGGACUCCAUUUGUAAACUUGUCUGCAAAGUGUGAAUAAACAAUGGC
Long non-coding RNA from Talpa occidentalis (Iberian mole), 1808 nucleotides. RefSeq lists it as uncharacterized. The record is from RefSeq and is a predicted model, not a curated record. NCBI's taxonomy places the organism in Eukaryota, Metazoa, Chordata, Mammalia, Eulipotyphla, Talpidae. The transcript is spliced from 6 exons.